CCAGCGUCGGGACGGGGCCCGGACUCGGCCGCUGCUCCACCGCGAAGCGCGGCGCCAGGAAGCGGCCAUCUCUCCGGAGCAGCAGGUGCUGUAAUCGUACCUUUGCAAAGAUUUCUCCUCUCAUUAGAGGAAGGCUGACCACGCCAGGAUGUUUAAAACGAGGUCGAGAGAAGUGCACUUCGCUCGCGAGCGUGACCCUCUCAUCUGCACCCGCACGCUUUUUAUUGCUACCUACUGAGCCCUGCUCGCCGCGCACCGGCUGCACCAGCCCUGCCCGCCCGUGCGUUCUCGGUUUCCGCCGGGGAAGGUGGAAAGCAAGCCCAAAGUCUCGGGAGAACUUACCUGAAACGAUCCCAUUCGACAAGACCCCCAGCUGGUAAAGGAGGCAGCAGCAGCAGAUGUCUACAUGGUACCCACUCCCUUUUCCACACCUCUUCCUUGGCCACAUCAAACCUUUCACAUCAGUCUCAAGGGUGAUUGAUCUAACCUGCCAUAUGCAUCCUCUGGACUAGGCCAGUCACCUAGAAAUGAGUUAAUGCAAAUCAGUUUUUUUUUUUUUUUAAUUCCAGCAGGAGAUUGGUUCCCCACUUCCUUUGUUAUUUUACCUUCCGCUCUCCGUGUCAGAGGUGACUACUAUGCCUUUAAGGGAGCCAGACUAUCUUAUUUCAAAGGAAAGCCAUUGUUUGAAUAAGCCGAGUCUUAGAAUACUUUCUUUGAGUUGUCCUGAGUUUAAAAACAAAUACGAAGACACUCUAGGUGUGUUUGUCAAAAGUUCUCUGCCUCCAAACCUUGUCUUAUAAAAUCUCAAAAACCAGAGUAACUAGGGUGGGUGUGGAUUUCUAGACAUUCAAGAAAUAUCUGGGUUACUUAGAAACCUACACACUCCUUUUUAUGGGACUCAAUUAUACAGCCUUAAAACUGGGCAAGAAAUCAAAGGCAGUUUAUUUUUAACAAAUAGAAUGAGUUAUUAAGACAGAAGCUAGUUUUAAUGAAACAUCUCCACUAGGAUAUAAGUCUUAAAUGUCUCAUCUAAUUUGAACAACAAUGACAACAAAAAUAUGAGACUAAAAUUGCAGAAGGAAUGCAUAUUAAAUUGUCUGUAUUUACCGGAAUACAUUUGUGAUUCUUUAAAAAUGAUUAAAUUAAAUAUACUCAGAAGCACAGGUCACCAAUAUAAGUUCCUUUCUCUGUCCUUUUUUGUCCCUACUGACACAUGAUCCCUGAUUGUCAUGGAAAGGUUUGCCUAACUCCCCACUAGCUAUAAUCUUUCUCCCAUUUGAAAUACUGUUAUAAUUUAUUUGUAUGUUUUCUAAGGCUUUUAUAAAUCAUUUGGUUUGUGUACAUUAUGUA
Molecule: long non-coding RNA, 1350 nt
Organism: Herpailurus yagouaroundi (jaguarundi)
Lineage: Eukaryota; Metazoa; Chordata; Mammalia; Carnivora; Felidae
Exons: 3
Source: RefSeq, a predicted model, not a curated record